UAAGCGUAUAAACUUAAACGUAUCUUAUCUUCUCAAAAAAAUGCGUUUAUUAAACGUUGAAAAUAAGUACGCAAAUAAUCACUGUAAAAACGUCGCAAAGGUAAUGGUUUAUCAACAUUAGACAUUAGCUGCUCUUUCGUUUUCUGCUCUGAAAAAACAACACUUAUUCAACGUUAUUUCAACGUUGGUUGAAAAUGUGGUAAUUAAAAGACGUUGAAAAAGUGUUACUUUGCCAACGUUAAUAAAACGUUGUUUUGAGGAAAUGGCAUAUUGAAAAUUAUUGUCUCAAUAACUAGCCAUUACAAAAAAAAUUUGCCGUAAUGGAAAGGCAAGGAGAACUUGAUAGAAUGCAUGCAUAUGAUAAAGAAGUAUGUGCAGGAUUUAAUUUCACAACUAAAGAGGACUCCAAAGAAGAAUUAUGUUUGUGAAUAAUUUUGUUUCUCUUCGGAUUUAACUUUUCUUUGUUUUGUAUAUAGUAAAGAAUGAAAAAAAAUCAAAUAUUAACUAUUGGUCAAAGCUGAUUUCAAUAAUACUGUCUAAAUUUUUUGACUUGUGGUAGUUUGAUUACCAGCAUAAAUUUAUUUAGUAAAGUUCUGGUGGAUCAAAGAUUGAGGAAUGAUUUGGUUUUAACUGGUUUGCAUUUAUGAGCGAAGUAAAUAAUAUGAUUUAAAUUGAUGAUUUAGAGUUACACCUAUUGAAAUUCUGUAUCUCAAUGAUAUCCUGGCUUAUCGAUACGAUAUCCUGUAAAUCCACUCACACACAAAUUUUACUCACACACGAAAAUCCUGUAAAUUCACUCACACACAUAAAUCUUAAAAAAGAUGUUUAUAUUUUUAUUUAUAAAUUGUAAAUUUUACAUAAAUAAAUUG
Non-coding RNA from Hydra vulgaris (swiftwater hydra), 869 nucleotides. The record is from RefSeq and is a predicted model, not a curated record. Lineage: Eukaryota; Metazoa; Cnidaria; Hydrozoa; Anthoathecata; Hydridae.